UACGUAGGGGGCGAGCGUUGUCCGGAUUUAUUGGGCGUAAAGAGCGUGUAGGCGGCCAGGUAGGUCUGCUGUGAAAACUCGAGGCUCAACCUCGAGACGUCGGCGGAAACCAUCUGGCUAGAGUCCGGAAGAGGAGAGUGGAAUUCCUGGUGUAGCGGUGAAAUGCGCAGAUAUCAGGAAGAACGCCCGUGGCGAAGGCGGCUCUCUGGGACGGUGACUGACGCUGAGACGCGAAAGCGUGGGGAGCGAACAGG
Molecule: ribosomal RNA, 254 nt
Filed under: uncultured bacterium
Lineage: Bacteria
Description: partial 16S ribosomal RNA
Rfam family: Bacterial small subunit ribosomal RNA
Source: RNAcentral